UGGGGAAUUUUGGACAAUGGGGGCAACCCUGAUCCAGCCAUGCCGCGUGAGUGAAGAAGGCCUUCGGGUUGUAAAGCUCUUUCGGCGGGGACGAAACGGUCCGUGACAACACCACGGACUAAUGACAGUACUCGCAGAAGAAGCACCGGCUAACUACGUGCCAGCAGCCGCGGUAAUACGUAGGGUGCAGGCGUUAAUCGGAAUUACUGGGCGUAAAGCGUGCGCAGGCGGCUCCUUAAGUCAGAUGUGAAAUCCCCGGGCUUAACCUGGGAACUGCGUUUGAAACUGAGGGGCUAGAGUGUGGAAGAGGGGGGUGGAAUUCCAGGUGUAGCAGUGAAAUGCGUAGAGAUCUGGAGGAACACCGAUGGCGAAGGCAGCCCCCUGGGCUAACACUGACGCUCAUGCACGAAAGCGUGGGGAG
RNAcentral lists this ribosomal RNA (421 nucleotides) under uncultured bacterium. Its description in RNAcentral is "bacterial SSU rRNA". It matches the Rfam family "Bacterial small subunit ribosomal RNA", at positions 355 to 768 of the family's 1533-position model. The record is from RNAcentral.